AAAUUUGAAAUCUGGCCCUAUCGGGGUCCGAGUUGUAAUUUGUAGAGAGUGCUUCGGGUGAGACCGCGGUCUAAGUCCAUUGGAACAUGGCGUCACAGAGGGUGAGAAUCCCGUACGUGACUGUGGCUCGAGCCCAUGUGAAGCCUCUUCGACGAGUCGAGUUGUUUGGGAAUGCAGCUCAAAAUGGGUGGUAAAUUUCAUCUAAAGCUAAAUACUGGCUGGAGACCGAUAGCGCACAAGUAGAGUGAUCGAAAGAUGAAAAGCACUUUGGAAAGAGAGUCAAACAGUACGUGAAAUUGUUGAAAGGGAAGCGCUUGCAACCAGACCUGCCCGUGGGCGAUCAGCCGCUGUUCUCAGCGGUGCACUCGUUCUGCGAUCAGGCCAGCAUCGGUUCUGGCGGUCGGAUAAAGGCCUUGGGAAUGUAGCUCCCUUCNGGGAGUCUUAUAGCCCUCGGUGCAAUGCGGCCAUCCGGGACCGAGGACCGCGCUUCGGCUA
This 495-nucleotide ribosomal RNA is filed under the name Cetraria sepincola. Its description in RNAcentral is "eukaryotic LSU rRNA". It matches the Rfam family "Eukaryotic large subunit ribosomal RNA", at positions 111 to 533 of the family's 3401-position model. Lineage: Eukaryota; Fungi; Ascomycota; Lecanoromycetes; Lecanorales; Parmeliaceae. The record is from RNAcentral.